GGGUCCGGACACACUGAGGAUUGACAGGCAAAAGAUACAAGUUUUCUUUGAAAGCUUGCAUUGUAAAAUAUGCGAGUCCUUUCAUGAUUAUGUGAUAGGUGGUGCAUGGCCGUUCUUAGUUCGUGGAGUGAUCUGUCUGCUUAAUUGCGUUUCACAACGAUUUAAAAUGCUAUGUUUUCUGUGUUUGCUGUUCGGUUUUGCUCUUACGGGAGUUUUAACUUUGAACGCACACGGCGUAGCUUAAAACAAUCGGAAAGCAACGAACGUGACCGCAACCUCUUGUUGCCUUUAUUUUUAAAAGCGUGGAAAAUUUUAUAUUUUCUUACGCUUGAAAAAGGCUUUAAAACUAGAGGGACCGCUGUUCUAUUCUCUUAAACCAGAGGAAGAUUGCGGCAAUAACAGGUCUGUGAUGCCCUCAGAUGUUCCGGGCUGCACACGUGCUACAAUGAUUGUUGCAGUGAGCAUCUAUUUUCAAACGCUACCGUUGCGGAUUUUGUGAGAAGGGAGUUUGUUUUAAAGCUUUCGGGUGGAGAAGCAGGUUCUUUUUUUUUACAAUUUAUUCCGCGUUACGUGUCAGCUAAACCUGCUUCGAAAGCAAGUAGGU
This 604-nucleotide ribosomal RNA is filed under the name Micrometula hyalostriata. Its description in RNAcentral is "bacterial SSU rRNA". The stretch from base 1 to 444 matches the Rfam family "Eukaryotic small subunit ribosomal RNA", at positions 1220 to 1501 of the family's 1831-position model. The record is from RNAcentral. Lineage: Eukaryota; Foraminifera; Allogromiidae.